RNAcentral lists this ribosomal RNA (127 nucleotides) under Escherichia coli. RNAcentral's name for it is "partial 23S ribosomal RNA". It matches the Rfam family "Bacterial large subunit ribosomal RNA", at positions 2800 to 2925 of the family's 2925-position model. The record is from RNAcentral. Lineage: Bacteria; Pseudomonadati; Pseudomonadota; Gammaproteobacteria; Enterobacterales; Enterobacteriaceae. RNAcentral also lists the same sequence under 8 other names.
UGAGACUUAGAGUCUCCUGAAGGAACGUUGAAGACGACGACGUUGAUAGGCCGGGUGUGUAAGCGCAGCGAUGCGUUGAGCUAACCGGUACUAAUGAACCGUGAGGCUUAACCUUACAACGCCGAAG